UGGGGUAUCGCCAAGCGGUAAGGCACCGGUCUUUGAUACCGGCAUUCCCUGGUUCGAAUCCAGGUACCCCAGCCA
Molecule: transfer RNA, 75 nt
Filed under: Escherichia coli
Lineage: Bacteria; Pseudomonadati; Pseudomonadota; Gammaproteobacteria; Enterobacterales; Enterobacteriaceae
Description: tRNA-Gln
Rfam family: tRNA
About the family: Transfer RNA (tRNA) molecules are approximately 80 nucleotides in length. Their secondary structure includes four short double-helical elements and three loops (D, anti-codon, and T loops).
Source: RNAcentral